AAUUAUCAACCUUUCCAUAAUUUUUUAAUUAUUGGUUAGGCUUGGAUGUGAGGGGUUUUGCAGGCUUCUCAAAAGUCAGCUCCCUUUAAAUUUAUUAGUCGAACCUUUGUCGAACUGUCUAAUAGUGUGAUAAUUAUCUACGCUAUUGACUAGACAUUAAUAGGAUUCAGCUUAUAACAGUCCAUUCACUUGGACAAUUUUUGACA
RNAcentral lists this unclassified non-coding RNA (206 nucleotides) under Floccularia luteovirens. Its description in RNAcentral is "partial internal transcribed spacer 2". The record is from RNAcentral. Lineage: Eukaryota; Fungi; Basidiomycota; Agaricomycetes; Agaricales; Squamanitaceae.